AGUGAACGCUGGCGGUAGGCCUAACACAUGCAAGUCGAACGGCAGCACAGUAAGAGCUUGCUCUUACGGGUGGCGAGUGGCGGACGGGUGAGGAAUACAUCGGAAUCUACUUUUUCGUGGGGGAUAACGUAGGGAAACUUACGCUAAUACCGCAUACGACCUACGGGUGAAAGCAGGGGAUCUUCGGACCUUGCGCGAUUGAAUGAGCCGAUGUCGGAUUAGCUAGUUGGCGGGGUAAAGGCCCACCAAGGCGACGAUCCGUAGCUGGUCUGAGAGGAUGGAUCGGCAACCUGGGACUGAGGAAAGGUCCCGACUCCUACGGGAAGCCGCAGUGGGGAAUAUUGGGCAAAGGGGGGAAGCCUGAUCCAGCCAUACCGCGUGGGUGAAGAAGGCCUUCGGGUUGUAAAGCCCUUUUGUUGGGAAAGAAAAGCAGCAGGUUAAUACCCCGCUGUUCUGACGGUACCCAAAGAAUAAGCACCGGCUAACUUCGUG
Molecule: ribosomal RNA, 492 nt
Filed under: uncultured bacterium
Lineage: Bacteria
Description: partial 16S ribosomal RNA
Rfam family: Bacterial small subunit ribosomal RNA
Source: RNAcentral